GAUGAACGCUGGCGGCGUGCCUAAUACAUGCAAGUCGAGCGAACAGACGAGGAGCUUGCUCCUCUGACGUUAGCGGCGGACGGGUGAGUAACACGUGGAUAACCUACCUAUAAGACUGGGAUAACUUCGGGAAACCGGAGCUAAUACCGGAUAAUAUAUUGAACCGCAUGGUUCAAUAGUGAAAGACGGUUUUGCUGUCACUUAUAGAUGGAUCCGCGCCGCAUUAGCUAGUUGGUAAGGUAACGGCUUACCAAGGCAACGAUGCGUAGCCGACCUGAGAGGGUGAUCGGCCACACUGGAACUGAGACACGGUCCAGACACCUACGGGAGGCAGCAGUAGGGAAUCUUACGCAAUGGGCGAAAGCCUGACGGAGCAACGCCGCGUGAGUGAUGAAGGUCUUCGGAUCGUAAAACUCUGUUAUUAGGGAAGAACAAAUGUGUAAGUAACUAUGCACGUCUUGACGGUACCUAAUCAGAAAGCCACGGCUAACUACGUG
Molecule: ribosomal RNA, 497 nt
Filed under: uncultured bacterium
Lineage: Bacteria
Description: partial 16S ribosomal RNA
Rfam family: Bacterial small subunit ribosomal RNA
Source: RNAcentral